RNAcentral lists this ribosomal RNA (460 nucleotides) under uncultured bacterium. Its description in RNAcentral is "partial 16S ribosomal RNA". It matches the Rfam family "Bacterial small subunit ribosomal RNA", at positions 338 to 795 of the family's 1533-position model. The record is from RNAcentral.
CCUACGGGAGGCUGCAGUGAGGAAUAUUGGUCAAUGGACGAGAGUCUGAACCAGCCAAGUAGCGUGAAGGAUGACUGCCCUAUGGGUUGUAAACUUCUUUUAUAUGGGAAUAAAAUGUUCCACGUGUGGGAUUUUGUAUGUACCAUAUGAAUAAGGAUCGGCUAACUCCGUGCCAGCAGCCGCGGUAAUACGGAGGAUCCGAGCGUUAUCCGGAUUUAUUGGGUUUAAAGGGAGCGUAGGUGGAUUGUUAAGUCAGUUGUGAAAGUUUGCGGCUCAACCAUAAAAUUGCAGUUGAAACUGGCAGUCUUGAGUACAGUAGAGGUGGGCGGAAUUCGUGGUGUAGCGGUGAAAUGCUUAGAUAUCACGAAGAACUCCGAUUGCGAAGGCAGUUCACUGGACUGCAACUGACACUGAGGCUCGAAAGUGUGGGUAUCAAACAGGAUUAGAUACCCUAGUAGUC